UACAUGGGGUGCAAACGUUGCUCGGAAUUAUUGGGCGUAAAGCGCGCGUAGGCGGUUACUCAAGUCGGAUGUGAAAGCCCUCGGCUUAACUGAGGAAGUGCACCCGAAACUGAGUAGCUAGAGUACUAAAGAGGGUCGCGGAAUUCCCGGUGUAGAGGUGAAAUUCGUAGAUAUCGGGAGGAAUACCAGUGGCGAAGGCGGCGACCUGGGCCAAUACUGACGCUGAGGUGCGAAAGCGUGGGGAGCAAACAGG
This 253-nucleotide ribosomal RNA is filed under the name uncultured bacterium. RNAcentral's name for it is "partial 16S ribosomal RNA". It matches the Rfam family "Bacterial small subunit ribosomal RNA", at positions 524 to 776 of the family's 1533-position model. The record is from RNAcentral.